Long non-coding RNA from Myotis davidii, 1398 nucleotides. RefSeq lists it as uncharacterized. The record is from RefSeq and is a predicted model, not a curated record. Lineage: Eukaryota; Metazoa; Chordata; Mammalia; Chiroptera; Vespertilionidae. The transcript is spliced from 3 exons.
ACGGUCAGGAACUCCUCCCUCUCCCUGGCCUCCCCCUCACAGCCCUGGGAAGUAAGGCAUCUCUGGGACCACUGAGGCCUGGCCAACAAGCAUUUUCUGUAAAGGGCCAGAUCGUAAAUAUUCUAGGUUUUGCAGGCCAAGAGGCAAAAUUGAGGCUAUUAUGUACGUGUAUGCCAUAAAGAUUUCAUUGACGCAAUUCAGAAUAUGAUAAUAAUUGAGAAUAGUUUUUGGUAAUACAGGUCCACGUAUGGGAUGGAAGAAAUUGUUUUUACAAGGAUAAUAGUUUGCUUGGUUGGGGUUCCUAGUCAAUGCUGCCUAUCAUUAAACUGAUUGCAAAUGUUCCCUGUAAGCCCAUUCUUGGUUCCCAGGCCGUUAAAAGCAGGCAGGGGCUGGGCCUGACCCCUGGGCUGUAGUGUGCAACGCAGACCUGAGGGGCCUUCUCGGUCCUGAGAGGGAACCGAGGCCCAGAGAAGCAGGGCCCUGCCGGCUGCUGCACACCACAUCUCAGAACACAGGCUCCUGGCCCCGUAUCCAGGCUUUCUCCCCAACAGCCUGUCCGUUCAUAUAAUCUACAUGCUCUCACUAGCACCUGCUGGGCGCAGCUGUGUCAGGGCUGGUGAGCGAUUCCCAUGCAUGUGGUUCUCACCUGUCUCUGUGCUUACCCAGGCUGGCCUGUCUUCCCCUCACUCCCCUGAGCCCCCCUCAGCUCACUCCUGCACCCACUGCCUGCCGGUCUCACCCGCCCACAGCCCGCAGAGUUUGCAGAUCACAUGGGAUUCCCAGCCAGGAUGUCAGCUGAGGGCGGGUGGCCUCGGAAUGGCCUUCAUGCUGUCCCUGCAGCCUUUCUGGACGGGCCCGGUGAGGGAGGGCAAGGGGAGGAAUGUGCAGCAGCUUUCCUUCCCUCGCUGGCACUUCAAUGGACACCACAAACCUAGUGGCCUCACACCUCUUCAGUAGCCUGUCCUGCAGGGCAAUGUCCUGUGUGUCUGUCCCCUCCCAGGGCAUGGAGCGGGCUUCACGGAGGGCGAGGCCCCGCGAGCACUUCAGCCCACCGAGGGCUGUAAGCAGGGAGGCACAGGGAGAGGCCAGAACCUCUGUCCCAAUGUGCAGCCCACGGCCCGAGACCACAGGGACUGUGGCAGGUCUCCCUCUCGCCCUGCCCUCCCCGAUGAAGCCCAGUGGGAGGAGGCUGUGGGAGUCCCUGCUGCAGGGGUGACGGGAGAGGCUUACAUCCAGGAUGGGCACAGGGAGCACCCUUGGGGGCUGCUGAGGGACCCCCGCCUGGUAGUGCUGGCCCUGACCCUGGCACCUCAGGGCUGCUGCUUCCACCCUGGGUGGCCCCACAUUUCUGCAGAACUCAUCACAGGGCAACCAAUUCAGCCCAGAUUGUCAGGGGCU